This 498-nucleotide ribosomal RNA is filed under the name uncultured bacterium. Its description in RNAcentral is "partial 16S ribosomal RNA". It matches the Rfam family "Bacterial small subunit ribosomal RNA", at positions 29 to 523 of the family's 1533-position model. The record is from RNAcentral.
AUUGAACGCUGGCGGCAUGCUUUACACAUGCAAGUCGAACGGUAACAGGCCGCAAGGUGCUGACGAGUGGCGAACGGGUGAGUAAUGCAUCGGAACGUGCCCAGUCGUGGGGGAUAACGCAGCGAAAGCUGUGCUAAUACCGCAUACGAUCUAUGGAUGAAAGCGGGGGACCGUAAGGCCUCGCGCGAUUGGAGCGGCCGAUGUCAGAUUAGGUAGUUGGUGGGGUAAAGGCGCACCAAGCCAACGAUCUGUAGCUGGUCUGAGAGGACGACCAGCCACACUGGGACUGAGACACGGCCCAGACUCCUACGGGAGGCAGCAGUGGGGAAUGUUGGACAAUGGGCGCAAGCCUGAUCCAGCAAUGCCGCGUGCAGGAAGAAGGCCUUCGGGUUGUAAACUGCUUUUGUACGGAACGAAACGGCGAGCUCUAAUACAGUUUGCUAAUGACGGUACCGUAAGAAUAAGCACCGGCUAACUACGUGCCAGCAGCCGCCGCCG